GAAAUUUCUCUUUGAAGACUACUUUUAACAACACAUUUAGAAGCUAAAUUAACAAACUUAUUACUCACAUAAGUUGAAACAUUGCAUUUGUCAUCUUGAGAGGCAGUGUUCUGGAGAUUGGAAAGUCCAAGAUAAAGAUGCCAACAUUUGGCAAGGAUCGUCUUGCUGUGUCAUCCCAUGGCAGAAGACAUCCCAUAAUGGAAGGCACAGAGAUGUGAGUGUCUUUUUACCAAUAGUACCAAUAGAUAAGAAGAUAAGAUACAGAUAAUAAAGCACAGCGCAUUGCACAGAUCUACACCAAUGGAUUGGAAUGGAAUGUAGGAUUCUCUUGCUGUGGACACCAUCAUAAUGUGAGAUCACUUCUCUGCUCAAUAGGACAAUCAUACUGAUUCCUUAGGAAGACAUAUAGGAAUCAGUAGAGGGAGAUCCUACCCUGGAAUCAUUUGAUAUCCUUGUGUUAUCUUCCUCUACAAAAAGGUAAG
Molecule: long non-coding RNA, 482 nt
Filed under: Pan troglodytes (chimpanzee)
Lineage: Eukaryota; Metazoa; Chordata; Mammalia; Primates; Hominidae
Description: long non-coding RNA NONPTRT013198
Source: RNAcentral